AGCAGCCGCGGUAAUUCCAGCUCCAAUAGCGUAUAUUAAAGUUGUUGCAGUUAAAAAGCUCGUAGUUGAAUUUCGGGAUUCUGCCGUUGGUCGGGCUAACAAGUCUGUACUGGUGUGUAGAAUUUCUACCUUCUGGGGAACUAUCAUGUUAUUAAUUUAGCGUGGUGGGAAACCAGGACCUUUACCUUGAAAAAAUUAGAGUGUUCAAAGCAGGCUUACGUCUGAAUACAUUAGCAUGGAAUAAUAGAAUAGGACGGUGGUCCUGUUUUGUUGGUUUCUGAAUCACCGUAAUGAUUAAUAGGGAUAGUUGGGGGCAUUAGUAUUCAAUUGUCAGAGGUGAAAUUCUUGGAUUUAUUGAAGACUAACUUCUGCGAAAGCAUUUGCCAAGGAUGUUUUCAUUAAUCAAGAACGAAAGUUAGGGGAUCGAAGACGAUCAGAUACCGUCGUAGUCUUAACCAUAAACUAUGCCGACUAGGGAUCGGACGAUGUUAAAUUUUAUUGACUCGUUCGG
This 511-nucleotide ribosomal RNA is filed under the name uncultured Scutellospora. Its description in RNAcentral is "SSU rRNA". It matches the Rfam family "Eukaryotic small subunit ribosomal RNA", at positions 569 to 1083 of the family's 1831-position model. The record is from RNAcentral. Lineage: Eukaryota; Fungi; Glomeromycota; Glomeromycetes; Diversisporales; Gigasporaceae.